RNAcentral lists this ribosomal RNA (906 nucleotides) under human gut metagenome. RNAcentral describes it as "bacterial SSU rRNA". It matches the Rfam family "Bacterial small subunit ribosomal RNA", at positions 8 to 901 of the family's 1533-position model. The record is from RNAcentral.
AGAGUUUGAUCCUGGCUCAGGAUGAACGCUGGCGGCAUGCCUAAUACAUGCAAGUCGAACGAGAGGAAGGAAAGCUUGCUUUUCUGAAUCUAGUGGCGAACGGGUGAGUAACACGUAGGUAACCUGCCCAUGUGCCCGGGAUAACUUCUGGAAACGGAUGCUAAAACCGGAUAGGUAGCAGACAAGCAUUUGACUGCUAUUAAAGUGGCCUUGGCCAUGAACAUGGAUGGACCUGCGGUGCAUUAGCUGGUUGGUGAGGUAACGGCCCACCAAGGCGACGAUGCAUAGCCGGCCUGAGAGGGCGGACGGCCACAUUGGGACUGAGACACGGCCCAAACUCCUACGGGAGGCAGCAGUAGGGAAUUUUCGUCAAUGGGGGGAACCCUGAACGAGCAAUGCCGCGUGAGUGAGGAAGGUCUUCGGAUCGUAAAGCUCUGUUGUAAGAGAAAAACGGCACUCAUAGGGAAUGAUGAGUGAGUGAUGGUAUCUUACCAGAAAGUCACGGCUAACUACGUGCCAGCAGCCGCGGUAAUACGUAGGUGGCGAGCGUUAUCCGGAAUGAUUGGGCGUAAAGGGUGCGUAGGUGGCAGAUCAAGUCUGGAGUAAAAGGUAUGGGCUCAACCCGUACUGGCUCUGGAAACUGAUCAGCUAGAGAACAGAAGAGGACGGCGGAACUCCAUGUGUAGCGGUAAAAUGCGUAGAUAUAUGGAAGAACACCGGUGGCGAAGGCGGCCGUCUGGUCUGGAUUCUGACACUGAAGCACGAAAGCGUGGGGAGCAAAUAGGAUUAGAUACCCUAGUAGUCCACGCCGUAAACGAUGAGAACUAGGUGUUGGGGGAAUAACUCAGUGCCGCAGUUAACGCAGUAAGUUCUCCGCCUGGGGAGUAUGCACGCAAGUGUGAAACU